Phascolarctos cinereus (koala) is the source of this 284-nucleotide non-coding RNA. The record is from RefSeq and is a predicted model, not a curated record. NCBI's taxonomy places the organism in Eukaryota, Metazoa, Chordata, Mammalia, Diprotodontia, Phascolarctidae.
GUACAUUUCUUUUCUUCAGUGCUGAAAUUCCUAGCAAGGAUAGUUCAUUUGCUCCUGUGAUGGACUUCCACUGCUAAGGUCACUAAACUCUUCCAUGGUCCAUCAGUAUCCUCUGGAGCAGAGGUAUUCUGGGAGGGAGUUUCUUAAAUUUUUAGUGUGAGAACAUGACUUCAGACAGCUUGCUGGCUCAGCUGGACUUCUGUGAAGAUACGAUGACUCCAUUUAUGGGCUUCUUGAAGAAUGAUUUGGGAAUAAAAAGGCUCAGCAAACCCAUACAACAUUAA